AUUUAUUAUGUAUAAACAAUUGGUAUUUCGUUGCUUCACAAGAGGAAGCACUAAACUAAUCAAAGAUAUCAAGAACAAUGACAUGUUGCUAACAAUAAUUUUGAUGGAUCCAUUCCACCACAUGAAAGAAUAAUAGGAUAGGCCGCGCAAUGAUUCUAUAGCCAACUCGCGUGCUAAAACCAUGCUUUAAGGCAUGUGCCAUGUUCUAUGCAGUUGAAGAGUCGUUGAAAUCAAAUAUGUGAUGAAACUACGAAUAUUACAUACCAUAGAUGUUGAAAAUUAACUUUAAAAUCCCCCAUUACAAGAAUCACGGGCAUAACCCAAAUUGAUGGUAUUCUUUCGUUGAAGUGAUGUCAAGAGCAAUGAAUUGGUUUGAAAUCUACCAUUUAAACUGAUACAAGUAUAUCUAACAUUGAUUGGCUAUGAUGACUGCCUAUGUACCAUAUAAUCAUAUUUCACGCAUAAACUAUCCUUGAGGUUCUUGCUAUGAUACAACAAAGUUCACUUUCAGCAUUCCCGAACUAAAGUCUACUUCAACAAGUGAGUUCACCUUCUAGGGCAAUCUUUAGAAAGCCCAAAAAAAAUUCUGCAUGGAGAAGACAAUGAAAGAAUAAUGACACACGAGUGAUUUGAGAAUUAUAAGUAUGAUAAUAAAUCUGUGUAAAAUGUCAGCGAAAGGCAAACGACAGUGAAAGCAGGACAAUUUUGUAGCACGAAGAAGCUAACUUGUUUCAAUCAAAAGAAAAUAGCCCGUAAACAAAGUUUUCCCACAAUACUGCUAGUUAAAUGACCAGACACCUUAUGUUUUGAAUGGUGUUAUUUUUUAUUGAUGGAAAAUACUUCACCAGGAUUUUUAAUCAGAACUUACAACUGAGACGGAAAUAGAAGGUUCUUCCCUUACUGUACAGUAUGGCCCCUAUAUUCUAGAACAUAAUCAAUUUUUGCAAUGUAAGUAUAUGUACAAGAUUGUGAAGAAUUUUUUGGCAAUAGCUCGAACUUAGAUCCCAUAAUGUUGGUAAAAUCAAUUCUGUAGUAAUAGAAAUUUUUCAAAAAAUAAAAAUCAAGUUAAAUGUUAGCAGUACCAAAGUAUUUGUACCAACAAUUUCUUCAUAAGGGCAGCCAAAGCAGUCACAAGUAUACAAAUAGUCAACACAAUUUUGGUCCAAAACAAUAAGUAAAAGAGAGAAUGGCAUGACUAGCAUCAUGCUAAGAAACUUCAGAUGAUAUGCAAACAAAGACUGGAUGGAGUCCUGUAAACAAAUAUGCAGAAUGCACUAAGAAGGUAACUAAUUAAAAAGGAGGGAUAAGCCCAUAAAACACCUCUCCGACACACAGGAGGGUUAUUAAUUAAUAAUUACCAACUCGAGAAAAGAGAAGUCAAUUAGCUCUCAUUUUUAGUGUUUCAUCUUCCGAGAAGCAUAAUUUUUAGUCACAUUCAAACCAAAUUCAGCCAAUGAUUUUUUUAUGCAGGAUGUGACAAAGGAAGAGAAUGCGAGAAAAUAGGAAGAGAGGAGAAGAAAAUGGACAGAAAUAUAGAGAAGGGCGAGAGAUUUAACAGGAAAAUCUGUCAUUCAGCAUUCAUAAUGUCGUAUGAAAUGGUAAAAGCCAGGCCCUCCUUUAUAUAACAAAGAAUUAAAGUCUAAUAGAGCUUUUAGUAAAUAACAAAUAUUAUUUCAGUUCAGUGAAUAACAAUUAUUAAAUCAACAAAAUCACAGUUAACAAAAUUACUGAAUCUAGUCUAUAUCAAACUCUAUCUUGAAUCUUAUCUAUCAUAAGAUAUCUAUUCUUGUACAAAAUGGAUGACUAUAUUCAUAAAUACAGUGUCAUUAAUAGGAUACAUGUAUACACAUUAAGUAGCAUCCAUUUAUAAAGAGUAUAAAUAGGAGCUUUGAUUGUAUUUUGAACACAAUUUUUUUAUUAGUCUGAUAUUAAGUCUAAUUUUAUAUGAAAGGUGCCAUCCUUCUCUGUUUGAUUGACUACAUAGGAGUUGUGGAUUCCUUAAUCUUGUAUUUACUUAGCUUUUCUUUGGAUGGUAAUAAUUGUGUCAUGGGGUAUUUCUAUUUGGAUGGUGAGCUAUUCUAUCAUUUAUUUAUUCCUAGAAGAAGAAUAAAUACAUUUAACACGUGCCUAAGCCUAUAGAAAUUGCUUCAUGUCGGCUGAUACUUGGUAAUCAAAAGGAGAUGCCACCCCACUUCUUUUCCUUUUAGGUUCACAAUUUCAGUGUAAGAUGAGAAAGAGGACCUAAUAAAGAC
This 2252-nucleotide long non-coding RNA is filed under the name Olea europaea subsp. europaea. The record is from RNAcentral. Lineage: Eukaryota; Viridiplantae; Streptophyta; Magnoliopsida; Lamiales; Oleaceae.